GGGUUGUGAGGUUAAGCGACUAAGCGUACACGGUGGAUGCCCAGGCAGUCAGAGGCGAUGAAGGACGUGCUAAUCUGCGAUAAGCGUCGGUAAGGUGAUAUGAACCGUUAUAACCG
RNAcentral lists this ribosomal RNA (116 nucleotides) under Escherichia coli. Its description in RNAcentral is "partial 23S ribosomal RNA". It matches the Rfam family "Bacterial large subunit ribosomal RNA", at positions 1 to 106 of the family's 2925-position model. Lineage: Bacteria; Pseudomonadati; Pseudomonadota; Gammaproteobacteria; Enterobacterales; Enterobacteriaceae. The record is from RNAcentral.